Long non-coding RNA from Macaca fascicularis (crab-eating macaque), 4086 nucleotides. The record is from Ensembl. NCBI's taxonomy places the organism in Eukaryota, Metazoa, Chordata, Mammalia, Primates, Cercopithecidae.
GCAGAGACAGCCGGGAGCUCUGACCACUAACUAUUUGGGGGCCCCACAGCAGGCUGGGAGCUUUAGAUUAUUGCAAAUGACAUCCAUGAAAAGAGAAAGCAGCUGCCAUGCAGCCUGUGUCACCUUAGAGGGGUCAGACUGGUCAGUUUAUCUUCCUCGAACCUGCCACCUAGAACCGCCAGGCUGAGGAGGCUUUCACCAUGACCGCCAAGGAUGUGUUCAAAACCCCCACCCCACUGUCAGGGAGCAAACUUAGUCUCCCAGCCCCAGAAAAAUACAUCCGGGCCAUCCAGGCCUCUUCUGCACCUGGGUUAUUUACUACCCAAACCUCACCUUGAAACAGCUAAGAUCAGGUCAUGGUUCAGGAUGUCGGCCCCUGCCUGGGCUCACCCUGCACGGUACAGGCUUGCUGUCCACAAAGAUGCAGUUUAUAAGAACAGUAGGCACGGGGGUAUCUCAGAGCUACUUGCGUACUAGGGCAUCCAGGAUGAGAACUCCAGCUUUACACCGGAUCUAACCCCGGACCCCAAGCACACACACUACCCCAGAGCCCAGCCUCUGCACCCCCUGCCAUGUCAACCAAGCAUUUUCAGUUCAUUUUCUCCUGGGCAAGCCUAUAUUGAAUCGCAGGCCUAGAAGUUUUAUCCCCGUUUCACAGAUUGGCAGGCUAAGACAAGACAAAUGCAGUGGUUUGCCAAGGGCCAGAGAAGGGAGCCCAAGUCUGCAAGCCUGCAAGGUCGCGUUCAUGAGAACUUUCAUCCUGCUAUGACUCGGCGGCAGGCACAUGGGCCUGGGUGGUUACUGAGAAAACUUUCAGAAGGGCUUUCGGGGACGUGAAGUCACCCCUGGCUUCCCGGGAUUCGGGGUUGGGAGCAGCCGCGCAGGAGCGGUGAAGCCAGAGGCCAGGGCAGUCCGUGCUGCGGGCAGCUCCCAAGGUCUGCGCUGGGCUGCCGCCCGCUGGCCAUGGCCUGGUCACCUGCAGCGCACAUUGCUGGGGAGGAAGAGCCGUGGAUUUCAGUCUGUAUGCCCAGAUGAUUAAGAAGCUGCCGCCCGCUAGCGGGAGGGGACUCCGCCGGGAAGUGGCCCCGCAGCCCGGCCGGGCGCCGCACGUCCAUCCUGGAGGCCACCGUCGCUCACCGAACAUCUGGCACGUGCCGUUGGUGCUGGGGUGCUGCGGGAGCGGGCCCUGCCUUCGGGAAGCUUCCAUAGGGGAGGAGGCGAUCGAUCAGACCACAGCAAACGAGCAAGAUGACCACAGUGGCCCAUGGAGGGGGACUAGGAGCAGUGUGGCCUAGAAACAAGGAAAGCCUCCUGCCCGGUGUGCACGGGGAGUUAGAAAGUGUGACCAUACUGUUCAGGGCAGGGACAAAACCCAGCUUCUGGUGUCUUCUGCAAGGGGAAGAAGCCUGGUGGUGGGAGCCAGGGCAAUCCCCGGGGAAGAGGCGGCCCCGCACAGAUCAUCAGGGGCUGGGACGAAGGGUUUGGCUUCUCUAAACGCAGCGGGAAGUUUUAAGCCAGAGCCACACAGAGCAUCCCUGUAGCUGCCGCAGGAGAGUGCGCGGAGUUCCCAGCAGGGCGAAAGCACCUUGGGGCCGGGACACUUCUGCUCCCAUGACCCCCGCCCCAGCAGGGCGCCCCUGUUUGGGGAACAGCCAGCAAUCAGGGACAGCGCCCCAGGCCCCGCUAGCGCCAGCACUGGCAGGAGGGACGCAUGGAGGUCGGACGGAACAGGGGAGGGGGCCCUGGCCAGGGAGGUCUCAGGCCCUCCCCACUAAAGUCAGCUCGACCCAGGGCCUCUCUGCGCAGCCCAGCGCGGCUUGCGGGAGAGGCUCCUAGGACCGGAGGGAAAGCCGCUCUAAACCGGAAUGAUCUGGUUUGGAGCGGGUUGGCUCCCUCCCUGCUCCCCCGCCCACUGCUCUCCCUCUCCUUCAGCGACGGGCUGGUUUUUGCCGCAGUCCCUGACCAAGGUAAACAGGAGGGAGGAGGAAAGACGGCUCUGUUUCCAUGGCAACCCAGAGCCCAGAGGGCAGGCACUGUGGUUCUCCGGGAUGUGCGGGGGUGGCUUCGGGGAGAAGAAAAGGCUCCCUGGAAAAGCCACAGGGAGGAAGGACCCUUCCAUGCACACGGUGGGGUGCGUUCAGAAGUAGGGGAUGGAGGGAAAAGGAGAGGGGUCAGGCACCCUCGGUGGAGAAUUGAGCAGGGGCCUGGGGACACAGAGACACAUAAGGCCAGGGGUCACACCGAAAAUGCAAGCGCACACCCUCUUCUGACCACUCAACCCAGGGAGCAGAAAAGAGGUGCCAGAGCGCUCAGAGCUUCCGAAAUCCACACCUCCCUGGUCCUUUCCAGAAAACCCUUCCAGGGGGCAGCUCAGCCCGGGGACAACCACAGAGGUGGGAUCUGGGCCCAAAGACAGGUGUCACCUGAAACAGGCCACUGUUGUCCGGCUGCAGUAUGCUGGGAGGACCAGCUCCCGCUCCACCCUGCUCCCCCUGGGAGGAAGGUUGACCCCAGCGUGGGAGUGUGGCUGUGGAAAGGCAUCCUUGCUGCAGCUGUGACUGUGAUGGGACAGCAGAGUCAUGCAUAGGAUUCUAGGGCUGGGGGUCCCAGAGGGGUGGCCCUGCCCCUCCUGGGGGCCAAGGACUGUCACCAUGUCACUACGGCACUCUCCAGCUGCUGACCGAAGCCCUCGCUGACCACAGCCCUGCCACAUUCCAGGUCUUCCCUCUGUAGCAACGUGAAGAGACUGCAGUGAGGUGUGGAAUUGGGCAGUUCUUCCGGAUUCAUUAAAAACUCGUUCCACCACAGGAGUCAGCCUGGCCACUCAGGUGUGGGGCGGGUCUCUCCUCAUUUCGCUUUCACCUGCGUGCCCAGGGAUAGGAGAAAACGGCACAGAGAGAGGUGGUAGAGGGUAAGCAUCCUGCCCUGGCAAAGCUGAAUGAAUGCGGGUAGCUUCAGCCCAGUGAAGCAGCGGCAGGGGCGCCUGUGGGGACCUGGGUGGAGGUGCCCUCUGACCUUGGUUUCGCUGGGCCAGGGGGUGAAUGCUUCUGGCAGUGGAGCUUCCAGGCCCGGAAAACCCAGGCCUCUUCUCACAGGGGCCCUCAGGUGCUUGUGGACUGCCCAGAGACAGAAGAGAACUGAGGGUGGGAGGGCCUGCUUUCGCCUGCAGAACACCCUGAAAUACCCCAUUUACCCAGCUCUCUCCAGGGCCCGCACAGUCCAAACUUCUCUGGCCUCAACUCCUACCACUGUGCCUUUGCUUCCUCUUGACCAGCCACGGUGGCUUCCUUGCUGCUCCUUGAGCGGUCAGGCGUGCUCCCUCUUUCUGGAAGUCUCCUCCUCCAGUAUCCACGUGGCUCCAUGCCUGGCCUUCUUCAGUUUUUUAAUGUGGCCUUCUCACUGAGGCAGAGCCGGGGCUACGGUGAGGCAAGUGAGGCAGCAAGGGCUUUCCUGCCCUCUCUUGUUAAAACUGUCUACUCUCCCCUCUGCUCAGGACUCUCCCCUCUGCUCAGGAGCACCAUCUUGUUUAGUAGGCACGCUGUUUAUUGCUGGACUUUCUCCGUUAGAAUGGAAGUGCCAUGAGAACUGGAAUCGUCUCUGCCUUGUUCUUGUUCUGUCUGUAUUUUUCAGAGCCUAGCACAUAGUAGGUGCUCAGUGUACACUAUCAGAUGGAGGGGCGGAUGGAGGGAUAAAUGGGGCCAUGGGGUCAGUAGGCUGUGUCCUUCCCCAGUUCCCCUUCCAACAAGUGGGAAGUGUGCUGCGGCCUUAGAAGAGGCUGGCAGAGUGGUGAAACGCACUCCUGGUGAGGCACACAAUGUGAGGUACAGGGGUUACAACUAAAAAGAAAAACAGACUGGCCUUAAAAAAAUAACGAAGGUGGAGGCUGCUACUUCCACCAGGCCCAGUAGCCCCAGCCAGGCUUUAAGAGUCUUCCUACAUCGACCCGGUGAGGUGGUUCACGCCUGUCAUCCCAGCACUUUGGGAGGCCGAGGUGGGUGGAUCACUUGAGUCAGGAGUUCAAGACCAGCCUAGCCAACAUGACAAAACCCCACCUCUACUAAAACUACCAAAAAAAAAAAAAAAAAA